Molecule: RNA transcript, 1190 nt
Organism: Juglans microcarpa x Juglans regia
Lineage: Eukaryota; Viridiplantae; Streptophyta; Magnoliopsida; Fagales; Juglandaceae
Gene name: protein TPR3-like
Exons: 5
Source: RefSeq, a predicted model, not a curated record
CUCCACAUGUUAUAGUUGUUGAAAAUUUAUAUAUUAUUGAAUAUUAUACUUGAAAUCUAUUAAUAAUUAUUGAAUAUUAUAUUUUAUAUUAUCAAAGAAUUCUAUAUUUAUGAGGUUAUUAAUGUUAUUAUUAAUAAGACCAUUAAUAACAAAUUCUAUCUCCCACUGUAUUAUAUUCUGUUUAAUUUCCAAUUUUAUAAAUACCCAUGUUAUUGAUUAUAUAUGUUCUCACUCUUAGUAUUUUAUUAUGGCCUCAUUCAAUAAAUAUGAUUUCUAAUUUCAUUAUAUUCUACACUUUUAUUAUCAUUCAUAAAUAAAAUCCUAAUUUUAUUAUGUUUUGUUUCUUUAUAUAUUAUUUGUCAUGAAUCAGUUGGUUAUGUUCUUAUCUUGCUCUAUGACAUUUCACUGACUGCUCAUCUGUGCUAUUCCUACCGUUCAUUUAUUUCUCCUCUACUUUGUGGUAUUUUUUAUCACUUUUAUUUGAAGUAUGUUUUUUAUAUUUAUUUUGUAAUAUUUAUUUUGUUUAUUCAUAUGUCAUAUUUAGAAUAGUUAAUUUAAAGCCUCGUUUAGAGAUUUUUUUUUUUAAAUAAAUGUUUCUUUUUCUUGCUUUAAAUAUAAAUAAUUACUAUAUGGUCUAUGUUACAUCAAAUUCUGAAUAUAUUGGAUGGAUCUCAGAAAUCAAUUAAUGGGAAACUAUAUAAUUAAUUGAAUUCUGCACAGUGGCUUGCUCUGGCUAAAGAGUGGAAGCAGCUCUCAGUUGAAACCACUGCAGACCAGGAUCCACUUGUAACUAGAGGAGGUUGAGAAGUACCUUUCCGGGUUCACAAAAGUGGACGACAAUCGAUACUCAAUGAAAAUCUUUUUUGAGAUAAGGAAGCAAAAGUAUCUUGAGGCAUUGGAUAAGCAUGAUCGUUCCAAGGCUGUGGAUAUAUUAGUAAAGGAUUUGAAAGUUUUUGCCACAUUUAAUGAAAAGCUUUUCAAGGAAAUCACUCAGCUCUUGACAUUGGAGAAUUUCAGAGAAAAUGAGCAACUUUCCAAAUAUGGAAAUACCAAAUCUGCUAGAGCAAUCAUGUUGGUGGAGCUUAAAAAAUUAAUUGAAGCAAAUCCUUUAUUCCGUGAUAAAUUGCAAUUCCCAAACCUUAAAAAUUCAAGGUUACGGACUCUCAUCAACCAAAAGUAACUCAUUUAAA